AUGGGUCCAUGUUUAUGAUGGCAUGUGACAAACAAUCAAAGCCCACAACAUUUAAUUGGAGAUUGAAGAAGAAACAAUGCUUUUCAUAUUCUGUAACACUAACUUGAAGUUAGUAACUUCAAUUCUUUUUUUUCUUUCUUUCUUGUUACCUUUUCAGUACUGUGUCCUGAUGAGUGCCCAUAACUUCUCUUGUCUUUUUUUAUCUCAGUUCCCACAUGAUUAAAGAAUAUAAUUACCAUGAAGUUUUGUUGUAAGACAUUCCUAUAAUUUUUACUAAAGCGUGUUAGGGGGAUAAGUGAAGAAGACGCUUUUGGACACUAUUAUAUAAAUAACCUGUCUGCAAUGCCGCAAUGUGGAGCUUUCUUCACCAACAAUAAUCAUUUCUCUUCAUUGAAUGAGAAUAAGUCCUCU
Molecule: long non-coding RNA, 411 nt
Filed under: Capsella grandiflora
Lineage: Eukaryota; Viridiplantae; Streptophyta; Magnoliopsida; Brassicales; Brassicaceae
Description: long non-coding RNA (CGRA_LNC001688)
Source: RNAcentral